Treponema pedis str. T A4 is the source of this 129-nucleotide regulatory RNA element. It matches the Rfam family "TD-1 RNA". From Rfam's summary of the family: non coding RNA found in Treponema denticola The record is from Rfam. Lineage: Bacteria; Pseudomonadati; Spirochaetota; Spirochaetia; Treponematales; Treponemataceae.
AAAACACUGGCCGAGUUUGCCGUUCGGCAAACAUCAUUUUAUUGUAUGCACUUUUUCACUUCGUUGCAAAAAUGCGGCAAUUCGGCAAUCCUCGAAAUCUGAUGAUUUCUGCGGUUGUCGAAUUUAAAA